RNAcentral lists this ribosomal RNA (741 nucleotides) under Actinobacteridae bacterium 17-08PB. RNAcentral's name for it is "bacterial SSU rRNA". It matches the Rfam family "Bacterial small subunit ribosomal RNA", at positions 121 to 874 of the family's 1533-position model. The record is from RNAcentral. Lineage: Bacteria; Bacillati; Actinomycetota; Actinomycetes.
GUAACCUGCCCUUAACUCUGGGAUAAGCCUGGGAAACUGGGUCUAAUACCGGAUAUGACCCGUCACCGCAUGGUGGUGGGUGGAAAGAUUUUUUGGUUUUGGAUGGACUCGCGGCCUAUCAGCUUGUUGGUGAGGUAAUGGCUCACCAAGGCGACGACGGGUAGCCGGCCUGAGAGGGUGACCGGCCACACUGGGACUGAGACACGGCCCAGACUCCUACGGGAGGCAGCAGUGGGGAAUAUUGCACAAUGGGCGCAAGCCUGAUGCAGCGACGCCGCGUGAGGGAUGAAGGCCUUCGGGUUGUAAACCUCUUUCAGUAGGGAAGAAGCGAAAGUGACGGUACCUGCAGAAGAAGCGCCGGCUAACUACGUGCCAGCAGCCGCGGUAAUACGUAGGGCGCAAGCGUUAUCCGGAAUUAUUGGGCGUAAAGAGCUCGUAGGCGGUUUGUCGCGUCUGCCGUGAAAGUCCGGGGCUCAACUCCGGAUCUGCGGUGGGUACGGGCAGACUAGAGUGAUGUAGGGGAGACUGGAAUUCCUGGUGUAGCGGUGAAAUGCGCAGAUAUCAGGAGGAACACCGAUGGCGAAGGCAGGUCUCUGGGCAUUAACUGACGCUGAGGAGCGAAAGCAUGGGGAGCGAACAGGAUUAGAUACCCUGGUAGUCCAUGCCGUAAACGUUGGGCACUAGGUGUGGGGGACAUUCCACGUUUUCCGCGCCGUAGCUAACGCAUUAAGUGCCCCGCCU